RNAcentral lists this ribosomal RNA (1547 nucleotides) under Staphylococcus aureus. RNAcentral's name for it is "partial 16S ribosomal RNA". It matches the Rfam family "Bacterial small subunit ribosomal RNA". Lineage: Bacteria; Bacillati; Bacillota; Bacilli; Caryophanales; Staphylococcaceae. The record is from RNAcentral.
AGAGUUUGAUCCUGGCUCAGGAUGAACGCUGGCGGCGUGCCUAAUACAUGCAAGUCGAGCGAACGGACGAGAAGCUUGCUUCUCUGAUGUUAGCGGCGGACGGGUGAGUAACACGUGGAUAACCUACCUAUAAGACUGGGAUAACUUCGGGAAACCGGAGCUAAUACCGGAUAAUAUUUUGAACCGCAUGGUUCAAAAGUGAAAGACGGUCUUGCUGUCACUUAUAGAUGGAUCCGCGCUGCAUUAGCUAGUUGGUAAGGUAACGGCUUACCAAGGCAACGAUGCAUAGCCGACCUGAGAGGGUGAUCGGCCACACUGGAACUGAGACACGGUCCAGACUCCUACGGGAGGCAGCAGUAGGGAAUCUUCCGCAAUGGGCGAAAGCCUGACGGAGCAACGCCGCGUGAGUGAUGAAGGUCUUCGGAUCGUAAAACUCUGUUAUUAGGGAAGAACAUAUGUGUAAGUAACUGUGCACAUCUUGACGGUACCUAAUCAGAAAGCCACGGCUAACUACGUGCCAGCAGCCGCGGUAAUACGUAGGUGGCAAGCGUUAUCCGGAAUUAUUGGGCGUAAAGCGCGCGUAGGCGGUUUUUUAAGUCUGAUGUGAAAGCCCACGGCUCAACCGUGGAGGGUCAUUGGAAACUGGAAAACUUGAGUGCAGAAGAGGAAAGUGGAAUUCCAUGUGUAGCGGUGAAAUGCGCAGAGAUAUGGAGGAACACCAGUGGCGAAGGCGACUUUCUGGUCUGUAACUGACGCUGAUGUGCGAAAGCGUGGGGAUCAAACAGGAUUAGAUACCCUGGUAGUCCACGCCGUAAACGAUGAGUGCUAAGUGUUAGGGGGUUUCCGCCCCUUAGUGCUGCAGCUAACGCAUUAAGCACUCCGCCUGGGGAGUACGACCGCAAGGUUGAAACUCAAAGGAAUUGACGGGGACCCGCACAAGCGGUGGAGCAUGUGGUUUAAUUCGAAGCAACGCGAAGAACCUUACCAAAUCUUGACAUCCUUUGACAACUCUAGAGAUAGAGCUUUCCCCUUCGGGGGACAAAGUGACAGGUGGUGCAUGGUUGUCGUCAGCUCGUGUCGUGAGAUGUUGGGUUAAGUCCCGCAACGAGCGCAACCCUUAAGCUUAGUUGCCAUCAUUAAGUUGGGCACUCUAAGUUGACUGCCGGUGACAAACCGGAGGAAGGUGGGGAUGACGUCAAAUCAUCAUGCCCCUUAUGAUUUGGGCUACACACGUGCUACAAUGGACAAUACAAAGGGCAGCGAAACCGCGAGGUCAAGCAAAUCCCAUAAAGUUGUUCUCAGUUCGGAUUGUAGUCUGCAACUCGACUACAUGAAGCUGGAAUCGCUAGUAAUCGUAGAUCAGCAUGCUACGGUGAAUACGUUCCCGGGUCUUGUACACACCGCCCGUCACACCACGAGAGUUUGUAACACCCGAAGCCGGUGGAGUAACCUUUUAGGAGCUAGCCGUCGAAGGUGGGACAAAUGAUUGGGGUGAAGUCGUAACAAGGUAGCCGUAUCGGAAGGUGCGGCUGGAUCACCUCCUUUCU